Molecule: long non-coding RNA, 1075 nt
Organism: Sinocyclocheilus grahami
Lineage: Eukaryota; Metazoa; Chordata; Actinopteri; Cypriniformes; Cyprinidae
Exons: 6
Source: RefSeq, a predicted model, not a curated record
GCUUGUUGCUUGACUUGCUUGAAAGUACCUCUCUCAGGAAAGUGGUUCGAAUUAUGUAAUAAAAGUCAGAAAUUGUCUAAGGAGCUGAAUCACAGAGGUCAGGGAGCUGAAGAACGUGGAACACUGAUGUUAAUGUGACAGAAAACAACAGAAAGAGCAAAGACUAUCCUCCAGAGUGUGAGUCAUACAAUACCUGUAUUUAUGACAGGAUGCUCUGAAAUAUUCUUUUUCAACAGCACUGUGGUCUUUUCUUCUCUGCAAAUAAUCCUCUUUCAUAUGUAAGUUAUGAUUCACAUUGUAAGUUUAGACCAUAGUGAAAUAUUCUUGCAUAGUCCUGUGUCUUUUCUUUUCUAGUCAGUCCCGAAAACACAUCAGUGCCAGUAACAGAAGCCAGUAUCUCAGAUGACUCGAGGUUGAAAUGUUGGUGUUCUGAGAUAUUCGGUCCAAACCAAAGACCGACGAUAUGGAGGGCAAGAUGGAGUGAGAGAACAUAUGAUGACAUGUUACCUGAAAGAAAGACCUCCAGCAGCACCAUCAGUUCGUGUGACUCAGGAUAUGCUUCAAGAAAAUGCAAAGAGAUUUUCACUCCCAAACAAAGACGAUAUGCAGUGCAGGAUGGGAUGAGAGAACAUGAUGACAUGUUACCUGGAACAACAACCUCUUCCAGCACCAAUUCAUUUGACUAAGGAUAUGCUUCAAGAAAAUGCACAUCCAUUUUCUCCAUCCCUGAAAAUGCCAAACAGAACAAACAAAAAAAUGUGUCAACUACGAAUAAGACCAGCAGUAGAGACAAAGUUGUUUGUCCACUCCAGGUGCCACUAUGACCAGCCAUGAGUAAACAGUAAUGAGGCUCUCUGAAUGUAGUCACGGCCCUGAUCAUAUUGUCCAGAAAUUUGUAAUUUGAGAGUCGACUUGGAGGAAAAGUGCAUACAGGCAUCUGAAGUGAAACAUUGCUAUAGUGUGCAAUGUAGAUCAUGCAGCAUGUCACACAAAAACACCCUUCUGUAGAGCUUGUUUUACCUGCUGGGGGGGGUGGAUUUGUGUGCUUGCGCGUGCCUCAAAAGAAUGACUUACA